GGAGAGGUGGCAGAGUGGUCGAAUGCGCUGGACUCGAAAUCCAGUAUAGCGGUCUCCGUUAUCGAGGGUUCGAAUCCCUCCCUCUCCGCCA
Molecule: transfer RNA, 91 nt
Filed under: Methylobacillus sp. MM3
Lineage: Bacteria; Pseudomonadati; Pseudomonadota; Betaproteobacteria; Nitrosomonadales; Methylophilaceae
Also listed under: 1 other name
Description: tRNA-Ser
Rfam family: tRNA
About the family: Transfer RNA (tRNA) molecules are approximately 80 nucleotides in length.
Source: RNAcentral